RNAcentral lists this ribosomal RNA (400 nucleotides) under uncultured Acidobacteriota bacterium. RNAcentral's name for it is "bacterial SSU rRNA". It matches the Rfam family "Bacterial small subunit ribosomal RNA", at positions 1060 to 1466 of the family's 1533-position model. Lineage: Bacteria; Pseudomonadati; Acidobacteriota. The record is from RNAcentral.
UCGUGUCGUGAUAUGUGGGGUAAGUCCCGCGAGGUGCGGAACCCCUGUGUCGUGUUGCCACCCGGCUGAGAGGCUGGAGCAGUCUGGACAGNCUGCCUCGCUUCAACGAGGAGGAAGGUGGGGAUGACGUCAAGUCAGUAUGGCCCUUACGACCAGGGCUGCACACGUACUACAAUGCCCGGCACAAAGGGGGGCAAGAUCNUAAUGUCGAGCAAAUCCCCAAAAACCGGGCCCAGUUCAGAUUGUCGUCUGCAACUCGACGGCAUGAAGCUGGAAUCGCUAGUAAUGGCGCAUCAGCUACGGCGCCGCGACCACGUUCCCAGGCCUUGUACACACCGCCCGUCACAUCAUGAAAGCCGUUUGUACCCGAAGUCGCCCCUUAAAAGGUGCCGAAGGUAUG